RNAcentral lists this ribosomal RNA (427 nucleotides) under uncultured bacterium. RNAcentral describes it as "bacterial SSU rRNA". It matches the Rfam family "Bacterial small subunit ribosomal RNA", at positions 354 to 796 of the family's 1533-position model. The record is from RNAcentral.
GCGAGGAAUCUUGGUCAAUGGGGGAAACCCUGAACCAGCGACGCCGCGUGGAGGACGAAGGCCCUUGGGUCGUAAACUCCUUUUGCCGGGGACGAGCAGAAGACGGUACCCGGCGAAUAAGCCACGGCUAACUACGUGCCAGCAGCCGCGGUAAUACGUAGGUGGCGAGCGUUGUCCGGAUUUACUGGGCGUAAAGAGCACGUAGGCGGCAUGGUCAGUCUCGCGUGAAAGGUUCCGGCUCAACCGGGACACUGCGUGGGAUACUGCCGUGCUUGAGGGCAGCAGAGGGCGGUGGAAUUCCCGGUGGAGUGGUGAAAUGCGUAGAUAUCGGGAGGAACACCAGUGGCGAAGGCGGCCGCCUGGGCUGUCCCUGACGCUGAGGUGCGAAAGCGUGGGGAGCGAACCGGAUUAGAUACCCUAGUAGUCC